AGAGGCAUACUGCAUUCUUACAUUCUGGAGAUAAAAGAAGAUAUCCUGGCUGCCAGCAAAGUGGGAGAUGAUGAUAAAUAGAACGAGUGGACCAUAUCUUACAACUAGAGCCAAAUUUCUCAUGCUCGCAGAUGGCAAAACCAGUUAACUCCCCUUCUGGAAUUAAACCUUAACGAGGCUUAUUUCUUUCUGGGCCUACCAUGGAUAUCAUUUACACUGGAUGCCCUUGGAAUCUGUUUACAUUUCGGCCAUCCUCAUACCUUUGUGUGUCUACUGGAGGCUGCCCCUGGGAUAGUGGAGGAACUCUGUGUUACACAGUGGAAUGCAAGUGCUUGGGAGUUGAUGACCUACUAGAUCAAGCUGUAGCCAAUGAUGGAAAAGCAGUGAUAAAAUUGCAAAUGUGCAUCAGCGUUCCCUCUCACACAUUAACUGAAUAUGGAGCCAGGAACAGCAGUAAAGUAAACAAAGAAUUGAACAAAACUGACUUGUGUGGGGGAGCAUUUGUGAUUCUGUCUCAACGUGCUUCUCUAAGCAGAUGAUCUCAGGCCUCACGUGGGGCCAAUGAAAUUUCAUGAUCAGAAAUGGGGUGACAGACUUCUUAAGACCCUUAACCUUUAAAAGAGAUUUUAAAUUAUGAUAAUUAAGACAGCAUCAAAUAUAAUGUACAGUCUUGCGACUAUUUUGUUCUGUUUUACGAAAGAAACAACUAAACAAACAAAACCACUUCUUGUUGUCAAGGUCCUUCGACUGCUUGCAAUCCAGGAGGGGGAAAGUUUAUAAAAUAAGGCAGCUAAAAUAACACUGCAUGAGAGUCUGUAAUCAGAUUCACAUGGUCCCUGUUGCAGACAUUUAGAGAAGUACAUAACUAUUCUGUGGAGAAGUUAUCAGGAAAAGCCUUACUAAAAAUUGAUAUUGGUAUUGAGUCUUGAAAGUCAUAGCACUGAUGCGAUGCAAGGUCAAGAUUCCCAAGUUGCAGUUCAUGGAUAAGUGCAGAAUGAGCAUGCUCGGUGUGCACUGAGAAGAGAAGGAAACAUUAAGGGGAGCUCUUUGGCUAGAGCCAGAGAUACAGAUGCAGGAAGCGUGUCUAAUGGGGUUUUACGUAGUUGGAAUGGCAAGGUGAAGUCAGAUAAUGGAAAAUCUCAAAUGCUGGGCUGAGGAGUUCGGACUUGAUUAGAAAGGCCACAACGAAACAGUAUAAUUUUUUAAGCAAGUACAUGGCAUGAUAUUAGAGGUUUUAUAAAGAUUAACUUAGCUUUGGUAUAUCAGAGAGUUUAUUGUAGGGUUUAGUAUAGCAAAAAAAAGUUUAUUACUGAAAAUUGGAUGGAAAGUGCAAUUCCAUAUGAAGAAAUGACAAGGUAGGGAUAAACACAAGAGACCAACAAAAGAAAGAGAUGCCAGAAUUUGAUAAUUGAUUAUUGGGCGUAGAGUAGAGAAAAGAGUAGAAGAGGAGUCUAAGGUUUAAGUUUUUGAGUACUUUGGAAAAUAUGGUGGGGGAGAAUGGAGCUGCACAUAAAGAAAGCUUAUUCAGAUGGGAAUGUGCCUUAAUCUGAUUUUUAGAUAUUUGGGUUUAAAGCAGAAUGUUCUGGUAGAAAUGUCCUGUUGGCAUUUUAUUUCCUGGAAAUCAAUACUGAACUCAAGCUUGACUGAAAAAUUAGUAUCGAAGAUACAAAAUUUAUGUUAAGGUAGAGAUGAGAAUUUAAGCUCUGGAUAGAAGGGGAUACAUUCCUAAGAAUAGGAAGACAGAGAGAAAAUGGCUGAAGAUGGAAAUGAAGCCCUAUUAACAGCCCACUUGAGUUACGCUUAGAGAUACCAUUACAUCUGAAUAGUCUUUGGAGGUUACAGGUGACUUCAGCAAAAGACAUAGCCUAUUUUGUUAGUUUAACACUACACCUCUUUGCUAGGGCAGAAUUGGCUCAUUCCUUCUUUGGGGAACAUGGGGGGGAGACAGGUGGCACAUCACUAUUUACUCCUUCUCACCACCUCAUCGUCAUUCUCUGUUCUCUGCACAGUUGGAUCUGGAAUGAGUUCUCCUUGUAGUCACAUGUCAGGAAUUGAGAUCCUUCUGUCUUGGGGUAGUAUGUGACUUCAGUGGACAAACUCACCAUCUUUUGUUUUUUGCUUUUUUUUUAAAAAAUCUGAUGACUAAAGAUUAGCACCCAUGCUUCUGCUUCACAGAGACCUAGUGAGGACAAAUGAGAAAAACUCAGGAGGCCCAGGGGAUGCCUAUCUAUGGAUAGUUCACAGUACACUUAGGCAGCUUACUGUCUUAGUUCCAGUAAAAACAGCCUGUUGGGGAAAGGUUAAAGUCUAUGGAAUCUGGUUUUAAUACAGCAUGACUCGAUGUUGCAAAGGAAUAUGAUUUUGAAAGCAUCUCUAAGACCCAGAUGUUUUAUGAAUAUGAUGAUGAUAAUAAAGCCAAUAAUUAUAAAUAAAAAUUUUAUGUU
This 2444-nucleotide long non-coding RNA is filed under the name Sus scrofa (pig). RNAcentral describes it as "lncRNA (ENSSSCG00040007267.1)". The record is from RNAcentral. Lineage: Eukaryota; Metazoa; Chordata; Mammalia; Artiodactyla; Suidae.